This 1966-nucleotide long non-coding RNA is filed under the name Solanum lycopersicum (tomato). RNAcentral's name for it is "long non-coding RNA (SLYC_LNC001099)". The record is from RNAcentral. Lineage: Eukaryota; Viridiplantae; Streptophyta; Magnoliopsida; Solanales; Solanaceae.
GACCGGCACAGCCGGUGUUGCAGUUGUCAUAGCAACUGAGACCUUGAGCAGCAACACUGAUCGUGUCGAUAUUGGCCGAUGAAAGGAUGAUGAACACCAUAGCUAUAGCUGCCAUUUUCUUCUUCUCCAUUUUUUUUUUCCUUAUGAGAGAACUGUCGGUAGAUUUGUGUGUAUAUAUAUAUAUUAGCUCGUUGUAACACUAUUGUUAGUGCCGUACAGGGGACAUGUGGCGGAGGAAUAUUCAUCAAUUUUCAAUCGGAUAAGUCUAAUUUGGAAUACCAAACUUUUACUUCUCUUUUAAUUGAUUUGUUUGAUUUUCGAAUUUUAAUACUAAUACUAAUUUAUUUAGUCUGGUAAUUUCACAAACGAUAACAAGGCCUCAUCUGCUUGCAUUUUAAUCGGUCCGAAGAGAUCUGAACAAUUAGAUUUGUAGGAGAUUUUUAAUAAUAUUCAUACUCAUUUGAUAAGUUGUCAAAUAAUAAAUUAUAACUUCUAUGCUUUGAACCUGACUUUUUAUCUCAUAACUAAAGAGUUUCUUUCUCUCAUUUCUCAAUUAAACAUCAUAUAAGUUUUCGUAAAAAUACUUUCAAGUAUUUGUUUUUUCCUAUUAAUAUUUUUUUUCUGUAUUGGUGUGUGUCAGGAACACUUGUUGCAAUAAGAUUUUUAAUGUGUUGUUGUUUAUCAAUGUUUUUGAAUGAAAAAUUAAUACUCCAAAUCAUGAUUAUUAAAACUUUUAGAACUUUUUUUUAAAUAAAAAAUGAUAUAUUUUGUUGAAGUUAAUUUUUUUAAUAAUAUUUUAUUAAUAUAAUGUUCAAUUUCACUUUCACAUUCAGAUAUUUAAAACAACAUUAAUUAUUUAGUAUUCAGAUGUAGAGACCACAUCUUAAUAUUCAAAUGUGUAUUUAGAUCAAAACACUCAUAUCUUAAUGCAAAUUUUAAUAUUCAGAUUCAAACAUCUUAAUUUUAAUAGAAACAAAUUAAAUGAGGCCGAAUAUAUGCUUAUGUACUAAACAUAUCAAAGGGAAAUCGGAAACUUAAUUAAAGAGUUAUCAAAUUUUUUAAAGAUCAACUAAAAAGAAAAAUAAGAUAAAGAAAUUAAGACGAAAAUAAAAAUUCUCUUUUAAAAAACAUAAAGAAAAUUCAUGUCUAGUUUAUUGGUACUUUAUUUGUCUAACAAUAGUUGUUCAUUAUUAACUUGACAUAAGUGAUUAAUAAAUAAGCAGUAAAUAAUAGGAAUAAUUUUAUUAUGCGGAUACGGGGCAUACCCCUAGCCUAUUGAUUCAGUCACCCCAAUUAAAUAUAAAUCAUCUAAAAAUUGAAAAAAUAAAGAUUUAUAAAUAACAAAAGUAAUUAACACAAAAUAAUAGCAUAUUCAUUAGUUUUAUAAAUUGAACAAAUAUUAUUAAAAUAUAAUGAACAAGUAAAGACGUAUUUAAGUUCUUCAUUUAUAGCGUUGGCAAAUUUAACUUUGACUCGACUAAUUUUGUUUAUUGAAUUAACAAUUAUAAUAUCAAAUAGUAGUACAUAGUUUCAUCAUCAUACAAUGCAUCUUAUAGUAAAAAGUCAUAGUACAAGUAAAGUUUAUUAUCGAAGAGAGAAGUAAAUUUAUGGAACUCCAUAUAAUAAUAGCUUGCUAGUAAAUUUCAUCACUUUCAACCAACGUUUCCAUCAAUUUUGUCAUCUAAAAAUUGAAGAAUAAAGUUAAAUUUCAAAUUAUAAAUUGGGAAAAUUAAAAAGAGAGAGAAUUAGUAGGUGUACCAUCUCCACAUCUUUUGUGGCACUUCUUAUCACAUUUGAUAUAUUGCUUGGCUGAAAAAUUAACAAAUUAUUUAUGUUAUUAUAAACACGGAUCUACUUUUUGUUUUAAUUAAAGAAGCUUUUUGAUAGGUACCAUUGAACUUCCUUAGCUUCAUUGUAAAAUUAAAUCCUACAAGUAAUUAUUAGUCUAUUGAAAGUAAAAUUUCUG